AAACAAUUAUGUUAUCAUGUUGAACUGCAUUGUAUUUGGUGAUGACACUUUUAAAGGUUCAUUUGGAUGUAUUUGUUAAUUUUGGGGACUUAGUUUCAGAUGUGUAUGGCAAGGGAGUUGGUUUCAGAUGUGUAUCACAACCGAAAACAUGAUGAACAUACAACCCAAAUCUAAAUACACAAAACAGAUAUGAAAGUAGAAGAGAAAUCCAUAAAGUCCGACUGAAAACAUGAUGAACAUUUUAAGGCAAAAUUUGGGGAAGAUGAAGAAAAUCCUAAAAUUUGGGGAAG
This 290-nucleotide long non-coding RNA is filed under the name Panax ginseng (ginseng). RNAcentral describes it as "long non-coding RNA (PGIN_LNC011404)". The record is from RNAcentral. Lineage: Eukaryota; Viridiplantae; Streptophyta; Magnoliopsida; Apiales; Araliaceae.